AUUGAACGCUGGCGGCAGGCCUAACACAUGCAAGUCGAACGGUAACAGGAAGAAGCUUGCUUCUUUGCUGACGAGUGGCGGACGGGUGAGUAAUGUCUGGGAAACUGCCUGAUGGAGGGGGAUAACUACUGGAAACGGUAGCUAAUACCGCGUAACGUCGCAAGACCAAAGAGGGGGACCUUCGGGCCUCUUGCCAUCGGAUGUGCCCAGAUGGGAUUAGCUAGUAGGUGGGGUAACGGCUCACCUAGGCGACGAUCCCUAGCUGGUCUGAGAGGAUGACCAGCCACACUGGAACUGAGACACGGUCCAGACUCCUACGGGAGGCAGCAGUGGGGAAUAUUGCACAAUGGGCGCAAGCCUGAUGCAGCCAUGCCGCGUGUAUGAAGAAGGCCUUCGGGUUGUAAAGUACUUUCAGCGGGGAGGAAGGGAGUAAAGUUAAUACCCUUGCUCAUUGACGUUACCCGCAGAAGAAGCACCGGCUAACUCCGUG
Molecule: ribosomal RNA, 490 nt
Filed under: uncultured bacterium
Lineage: Bacteria
Description: partial 16S ribosomal RNA
Rfam family: Bacterial small subunit ribosomal RNA
Source: RNAcentral